AGUCCAUGGUGAGGACAUUUUCGAAACAUGUCCUUGAUACGCUCCCAUGCUUCACAUAGUGAUUCACCUUCUUCUUGGGUAAAAUUAGUUUUGUAGGUGGGAAG
This is a non-coding RNA of Helianthus annuus (common sunflower), 104 nucleotides long. NCBI's taxonomy places the organism in Eukaryota, Viridiplantae, Streptophyta, Magnoliopsida, Asterales, Asteraceae. The record is from Rfam.